RNAcentral lists this ribosomal RNA (492 nucleotides) under uncultured bacterium. RNAcentral's name for it is "partial 16S ribosomal RNA". It matches the Rfam family "Bacterial small subunit ribosomal RNA", at positions 29 to 507 of the family's 1533-position model. The record is from RNAcentral.
AGUGAACGCUGGCGGUAGGCCUAACACAUGCAAGUCGAACGGCAGCACAAUAAGAGCUUGCUCUUACGGGUGGCGAGUGGCGGACGGGUGAGGAAUACAUCGGAAUCUACUUUUUCGUGGGGGAUAACGUAGGGAAACUUACGCUAAUACCGCAUACGACCUACGGGUGAAAGCAGGGGAUCUUCGGACCUUGCGCGAUUGAAUGAGCCGGUGUCGGAUUAGCUAGUUGGCGGGGUAAAGGCCCACCAAGGCGACGAUCCGUAGCUGGUCUGAGAGGAUGAUCAGCCACACUGGAACUGAGACACGGUCCAGACUCCUACGGGAGGCAGCAGUGGGGAAUAUUGGACAAUGGGCGCAAGCCUGAUCCAGCCAUACCGCGUGGGUGAAGAAGGCCUUCGGGUUGUAAAGCCCUUUUGUUGGGAAAGAAAAGCAGCAGGUUAAUACCCCGCUGUUCUGACGGUACCCAAAGAAUAAGCACCGGCUAACUUCGUG